RNAcentral lists this ribosomal RNA (452 nucleotides) under uncultured bacterium. RNAcentral's name for it is "bacterial SSU rRNA". It matches the Rfam family "Bacterial small subunit ribosomal RNA", at positions 57 to 507 of the family's 1533-position model. The record is from RNAcentral.
GCAAGUCGAACGGAGUUCCCUUGGAUAGAGGCUUCGGCCAAUUGAAUUGGAACUUAGUGGCGGACUGGUGAGUAACGCGUGAGGAACCUGCCUUUCAGAGGGGGACAACAGUUGGAAACGACUGCUAAUACCGCAUGACACAUUCGGAUGGCAUCACCUGAAUGUCAAAGAUUUUAUCGCUGAAAGAUGGCCUCGCGUCUGAUUAGCUAGUUGGUGGGGUAACGGCCCACCAAGGCGACGAUCAGUAGCCGGACUGAGAGGUUGAACGGCCACAUUGGGACUGAGAUACGGCCCAGACUCCUACGGGAGGCAGCAGUGGGGAAUAUUGGGCAAUGGGGGAAACCCUGACCCAGCAACGCCGCGUGAAGGAAGAAGGCUUCGGGUUGUAAACUUCUUUUACCAGGGACGAAGACGUGACGGUACCUGGAGAAAAAGCCACGGCUAACUACGUG